RNAcentral lists this ribosomal RNA (515 nucleotides) under uncultured bacterium. RNAcentral describes it as "partial 16S ribosomal RNA". It matches the Rfam family "Bacterial small subunit ribosomal RNA", at positions 28 to 523 of the family's 1533-position model. The record is from RNAcentral.
GAUGAACGCUGGCGGCGUGCCUAAUACAUGCAAGUCGAGCGAAUGGAUUGAGAGCUUGCUCUUAUGAAGUUAGCGGCGGACGGGUGAGUAACACGUGGGUAACCUGCCCAUAAGACUGGGAUGACUCCGGGAAACCGGGGCUAAUACCGGAUAACAUUUUGAACCGCAUGGUUCGAAAUUGAAAGGCGGCUUCGGCUGUCACUUAUGGAUGGACCCGCGUCGCAUUAGCUAGUUGGUGGGGUAACGGCUCACCAAGGCAACGAUGCGUAGCCGACCUGAGAGGGUGAUCGGCCACACUGGGACUGCGACCAGGCCCAGACUCCUACGGGAGGCAGCAGUAGGGAAUCUUCCGCAAUGGACGAAAGUCUGACGGAGCAACGCCGCGUGAGUGAUGAAGGCUUUCGGGUCGUAAAACUCUGUUGUUAGGGAAGAACAAGUGCUAGUUGAAUAAGCUGGCACCUUGACGGUACCUAACCAGAAAGCCACGGCUAACUACGUGCCAGCCGCCGCUGUAA